GAGAACCAUACUGCAGUACCAUGAAAAAGUUUUGGAAAAGGAACUGCAGCCGUUGAAGGAGUGCAAUGAACCUGAUUUCUGCCUUUGCUGCUUUCCAAAAUAAUAAAUGUAUAAAAGUUGAACACAAGUGGUUAUUUUCCGAAGAUACAGAGUGCUAGCAAUAAUAAUAACAGUUCUUGACAUAGCGCCUUUAGUGUCGGGAAUCUUUCACAAACACUGAUUAGACUUGAAAUGGCCAAUGUGCCUGGAAGAGAGCUCUAAUCAUCUACAGAGGAUGCAUCAGCAUCAGCCAUCCAAGAGGGCGGGCUCCUCACGGCACCUCCCCGUGAGCCUGGGGCUGGCUCCGCACGGGGCCCCGGGGCUCCCGCGCCGGCCGGCCGCCGGGGCUUUCUGCCUGCAGCCGUUUGCUCUCUGCCCUGGAAGGCUCCGAGAUAUCUGCUGCCGCCUUGUUAGCGAUUAAGAUGUGCAAGUGACAAAUGGACAUUUUACAUCUCCUUCCUCUGACCCUUGCUCCUGGUAGCCACGUUACUGAACAUCCUGAUCCCCGUCUUCUCCUUGCUAAAAUAAAUGAAUUGGCGGGACACA
Molecule: long non-coding RNA, 585 nt
Filed under: Struthio camelus australis
Lineage: Eukaryota; Metazoa; Chordata; Aves; Struthioniformes; Struthionidae
Description: lncRNA (ENSSCUG00000009970.1)
Source: RNAcentral